UACGGAGGGUGCAAGCGUUAUCCGGAUUCACUGGGUUUAAAGGGUGCGUAGGUGGAUUAGUAAGUCAGUGGUGAAAUCUCCGGGCUUAACCCGGAAACUGCCAUUGAUACUAUAGGUCUUGAAUUUUCUGGAGGUUAGCGGAAUAUGUCAUGUAGCGGUGAAAUGCUUAGAUAUGACAUAGAACACCAAUUGCGAAGGCAGCUAGCUACAGGGAUAUUGACACUGAGGCUCGAAAGCGUGGGGAUCAAACAGU
RNAcentral lists this ribosomal RNA (253 nucleotides) under uncultured prokaryote. RNAcentral describes it as "partial 16S ribosomal RNA". It matches the Rfam family "Bacterial small subunit ribosomal RNA", at positions 524 to 776 of the family's 1533-position model. The record is from RNAcentral.